AAAAGAAUUCUUUUGCAGCGCUUAAUUGCGCGGCGAAAACCUUACACACUAUGUUUUUUUAAUUUGAAACUAUUGCUUUGGUCUGGCUUAGAAAUAGGUUGGGCCAAAGGUUUUAUCAAAACUUCAAUAUUUAUUAUUGAAUUGUUAUUUUUAAUUUUAUGUCAAUUUGUUGAUUAAUAUCAAAAAUCUUCAAAACUUUCAACAACGGAUCUCUUGGUUCUCGCAUCGAUGAAGAACGCAGCGAAAUGCGAUAAGUAAUAUGAAUUGCAGAUUUUCGUGAAUCAUCGAAUCUUUGAACGCACAUUGCGCCCUUUGGUAUUCCAAAGGGCAUGCCUGUUUGAGCGUCAUUUCUCUCUCAAAUCUUCGGAUUUGGUUUUGAGUGAUACUCUUAGUCAGACUAAGCGUUUGCUUGAAAUGUAUUGGCAUGAGUGGUACUAGAUAGUGCUGAACUGUUUUCAAUGUAUUAGGUUUAUCCAACUCAUUGACCAGUAAAGUAUUUGUUUAUUACACAGGCUCGGCCUUACAACAACAAACAAAGUUUGACCUCAAAUCAGGUAGGACUACCCGCUGAACUUAAGCAUAUCAUAAGCCGGGGAAGGAA
Molecule: ribosomal RNA, 601 nt
Filed under: Dujonia railenensis
Lineage: Eukaryota; Fungi; Ascomycota; Pichiomycetes; Serinales; Debaryomycetaceae
Description: eukaryotic LSU rRNA
Rfam family: 5.8S ribosomal RNA (bases 194-347)
Source: RNAcentral